GUUUGAUCGAUGGCUCAGAUUGAACGCUGGCGAAUGCUUUACACAUGCAAGUCGAACGGCAGCACGGACUUCGGUCUGGUGGCGAGUGGCGAACGGGUGAGUAACAUAUCGGAACGUAUCCAAGUAAUGGGGGAUAACUAAUCGAAAGGUUGGCUAAUACCGCAUACGCCCUACGGGGGAAAGCUAGGGACCUUCGGGCCUGGCGUUAAUGGAGCGGCCGAUAUCUGAUUAGCUAGUUGGUGAGGUAAAGGCUCACCAAGGCGACGAUCAGUAGCUGGUCUGAGAGGACGACCAGCCACACUGGAACUGAGACACGGUCCAGACUCCUACGGGAGGCAGCAGUGGGGAAUUUUGGACAAUGGGCGCAAGCCUGAUCCAGCCAUUCCGCGUGAGUGAAGAAGGCCUUCAGGUUGUAAAGCUCUUUCGCAAGGGAAGAAAACUUAUCCUCUAACAUAGGAUGAGGUUGACGGUACCUUGAUAAGAAGCACCGGCUAACUACGUG
RNAcentral lists this ribosomal RNA (502 nucleotides) under uncultured bacterium. RNAcentral describes it as "bacterial SSU rRNA". It matches the Rfam family "Bacterial small subunit ribosomal RNA", at positions 11 to 507 of the family's 1533-position model. The record is from RNAcentral.